Molecule: ribosomal RNA, 250 nt
Filed under: uncultured bacterium
Lineage: Bacteria
Description: partial 16S ribosomal RNA
Rfam family: Bacterial small subunit ribosomal RNA
Source: RNAcentral
UACGUAGGGAGCGAGCGUUAUCCGGAAUUAUUGGGCGUAAAGCGUGCGUAGGCGGCGUGUUAAGUCGAAUGUGAAAGCCCACAGCUUAACUGUGGAGGGUCAUUCGAAACUGGCAUGCUAGAGUACGGCAGAGGUUAGUGGAAUUCAAUGUGUAGCGGUAAAAUGCGUAGAUAUAUUGAGGAACACCGAUGGCGAAGGCAGCUAACUGGACCGGAACUGACGCUGAGGCACGAAAGCGUGGGGAGCAAAC